Stegodyphus mimosarum is the source of this 47-nucleotide non-coding RNA. Lineage: Eukaryota; Metazoa; Arthropoda; Arachnida; Araneae; Eresidae. The record is from Rfam.
CAAAAGGCCCUUUUCAGGGCCACACAAAUUUUAAAAAAGAUAUGCCU